Molecule: long non-coding RNA, 316 nt
Filed under: Brassica napus (rape)
Lineage: Eukaryota; Viridiplantae; Streptophyta; Magnoliopsida; Brassicales; Brassicaceae
Description: long non-coding RNA (BNAP_LNC022935)
Source: RNAcentral
UAUCCAGAACAUCUUCAGCUGAAUUCAUUUCUUCUUUGACCGGAGUUCCAUCAAGAAAAUACAGAGUGUCAAUGUAGUUAGCAGCCAAAACUUCUUUAUCUUCUUUGAACACGUUAAGCCUGUAAUUCUUAGACUGGAACCAACAUCCAUGCGACUCUAACUGACCCAGAGAAAUAAGAUUUCUUCUAGCAGAAGCAGAAAACCUCACAUCUGUUAGAACCACCACGACCUUGUUGUGAUUUAAAAGUUUAACUUUCCCAACAACAUUGAAUUCACAGAAUGUGUCAUUACCCAUCAGUAUCUUUCUACCAUCAAG